GGGAAAGUGGCUCAGUGGUAGAGCACUUGCCUUGCAUGCAUGAGGCCCUGGGUUUGAUUCCUCAGCACCACCU
Dipodomys ordii (Ord's kangaroo rat) is the source of this 73-nucleotide non-coding RNA. Lineage: Eukaryota; Metazoa; Chordata; Mammalia; Rodentia; Heteromyidae. The record is from Rfam.